UGAGGAAUAUUGGUCAAUGGGCGCAAGCCUGAACCAGCCAUCCCGCGUGCAGGAAGACGGCGCUAUGCGUUGUAAACUGCCUUUCCAGGGGGAGAAACUUGCGCACGUGUUGCGCAAUUGACGGUACCCUGGGAAUAAGCAUCGGCUAACUCCGUGCCAGCAGCCGCGGUAAUACGGAGGAUGCGAGCGUUAUCCGGAUUCAUUGGGUUUAAAGGGUGCGUAGGCGGACUAUCAAGUCAGUGGUGAAAUCCUGCAGCUUAACUGCAGAACUGCCAUUGAUACUGAUAGCCUUGAGUUUGGUUAAGGUAGGCGGAAUGUGUAAUGUAGCGGUGAAAUGCUUAGAUAUUACACAGAACACCAAUUGCGUAGGCAGCUUACUGAGCCGACACUGACGCUGAGGCACGAAAGCGUGGGGAUCGAACAG
This 424-nucleotide ribosomal RNA is filed under the name uncultured bacterium. RNAcentral's name for it is "bacterial SSU rRNA". It matches the Rfam family "Bacterial small subunit ribosomal RNA", at positions 355 to 775 of the family's 1533-position model. The record is from RNAcentral.